This 211-nucleotide unclassified non-coding RNA is filed under the name Entrophospora etunicata. RNAcentral's name for it is "Claroideoglomus etunicatum partial internal transcribed spacer region". The stretch from base 1 to 46 matches the Rfam family "Eukaryotic small subunit ribosomal RNA", at positions 1786 to 1831 of the family's 1831-position model. The record is from RNAcentral. Lineage: Eukaryota; Fungi; Glomeromycota; Glomeromycetes; Entrophosporales; Entrophosporaceae.
AAGUCGUAACAAGGUUUCCGUAGGUGAACCUGCGGAAGGAUCAUUAUAAAAUUUUCAUAUAUUUAAAAUUCAUUUAAUAUAUAAAAUUAUAUACAAAAUGUAUUCAAAACCCACACUCUUUAUAACCAUAAAAAAAUUUAUAUUAUUAUUUAUAAUUAUUAUUUAUAAUAUAAAAAAAAAACAACUUUCAACAACGGAUCUCUUGGCUCUC